CAGUAGCCACGGUAAUACGUAGGUGGCAAGCGUUGUCCGGAAUUAUUGGGCGUAAAGGGCUCGCAGGCGGUUUCUUAAGUCUGAUGUGAAAGCCCCCGGCUCAACCGGGGAGGGUCAUUGGAAACUGGGAAACUUGAGUGCAGAAGAGGAGAGUGGAAUUCCACGUGUAGCGGUGAAAUGCGUAGAGAUGUGGAGGAACACCAGUGGCGAAGGCGACUCCCUGGUCUGUAACUGACGCUGAGGAGCGAAAGCGUGGGGAGCGAACAGGAUUAGAUACCCCCGUAGUCCCUGUCUCUUAUAC
RNAcentral lists this ribosomal RNA (301 nucleotides) under uncultured bacterium. Its description in RNAcentral is "partial 16S ribosomal RNA". It matches the Rfam family "Bacterial small subunit ribosomal RNA", at positions 509 to 807 of the family's 1533-position model. The record is from RNAcentral.